This 1876-nucleotide long non-coding RNA is filed under the name Marmota monax (woodchuck). The record is from RNAcentral. Lineage: Eukaryota; Metazoa; Chordata; Mammalia; Rodentia; Sciuridae.
UGCAGGCCCCAAGGACUGGUCAUGGGUGGUCAUGAUUCUCCACAUCUGAGUCAUAGCAAAGCGGAGCCAUUCCCCCUCGGGAGAAAGGAGAUUCUCUUUACAUUCCAUCUCCUGCACCUCCACCACAGGUCUGCUUUUCGGGGGUUGGUUGCCAGUCAGCUGGCUGCUCCUGACCCGCAGACUCUGUGGCCCACGCUCUCUCCUGCAGGGAAAGGGAUGCGAUGCAAUAUUAUUUUGAGUGGAUUCCUCGUGAUUCUCCAUGCAAGUGACCAUGUCACCUACACAAGGAGACAGUCUCCUUCUUUGUAUGUAGUCCAAGUGUCUUUCUUCCCUCAGUGCUCUGGCGAGGCCUCACAGGCUGGUGCUGAAUGGCAGCCAUGGGGUCUGUUUCUUGGGGAGCAAGGAGCAUCUUCUCCCCGUUUAGCUCGAGAUCUGCUGUGGGUUUUUAUAGGUUCCCUUGACCACCUAGAAGUCCCCUGCUGUUCCUAGUGGGUUGAACAUUUUUAUCAUGAAAAGCUAGGGGAUUUCAUCAAAUUAUUUUUGUGUGUCUAGCAAGAUAGUCUUGUGACUUUUCCUCUUUAUUCUGUUGAUAUAAUUUAUUAUACUAAUUUGGAUGUUGAACCAAACUUGUACGCCUGGGAUAAAUCCUGGAUCACGGUGUGUGGUUUUCUCUGUCGGUGGCUUCUGUGGGGUCUGUUUUGAUGUGAUUUCUGCACUGGACUUCAUCAGCAGUCUUCUUUCCAUGAGGUGUUUUACCUGGUGCAGGCGCAAUGGGAUCAUGGCCUCAGAAUGUGGGCUGGUAGGUGCCCCCGCCUCUGCUCCUUGGGAAGGUCUGUGGUGAGUUCAUACUGCUUUCAAACAGCCCGUGGGACUUGGUGAGGCCCCCUGGCCCGGGUUUUCCAUUACUAGUGUGAUCUCUCCCUUCUGUGUAGUCUGUUCAGAUUGUGCCUCUCCUUGAGUCAGUUUCACUUUGUGCCUUUCUUGGAAUUGGUCCAUUUUGUCUACAUUUUCUAUUUGUCAGUGAACGAUUGUUGGCAAUGUUCUUUUUCCUUCUGUGGCACUGGGGAUGGAGCCCAUGGCCUCGCACCUGCUGGACAAGUGUUGACCACUGAGAAUCCCAGUGUUCCUCUACAAUCCUCUCAUCUCUGGGGGGUCAGCAGUGGCCUCCUUCUCUAAUCUAUUGUUAGGUAGUAGCUAGCAAGGAGCAGUGAAAUGCUUGGCAAAGUCACAAGUGUUCUUUUGUAAGGGUAAAAGAAAUUGAAGUUAAAGCGUAAAAGUUAAAGGGUAAAAGACUGGGUGUUGUAAAAGUUUCUAAGCUGCAAGGUCUGAGUUAGCUGUUAAGACAAUGCUUAGAACCGCCCAGUAAACAUUUCCCCUGAUUGUCUGGUUGUUUAAUAACUGAAGGGGUCUGUGUGGUUGCACGCAGGCAUUGCAGGGCCUGGACCAAUCAGUUUAAAUGUAACCCCCUCCUUAGGAAUGACCUAUCACUCCAGCCUGACCUGUUCCCGCCAAUGAAUGAACUAAUCAGGUUUAGGAGUUGUUGUUCAAUUUUCCCGCGCCUCAUGAUGAUUUGUUCUGAUGUAUACAAAGCCCUCCGCCCUCCCCAAAAAGUGUACUUAAGCAGUGCUCAGCCCCUGCUCAGGGCUCUGGGCUGCUUUCCGUUCUUGAGUGGGCACGGAGCCCCAGCAUGCUGGUUCAAUAAAUCCCCUUCUGCCAAUUGCAUGAGUGGUCAUUUGGUGGUCUCUUUCUCCGACGUUUCGCGGGACCCUUACAAUCUCUUAAAAUAUUUCUAGAUUUUAAGAUGUAUGGAGACAUCAUACAUCUUCCUUUAGAUUUACUGCUAGGUAUUUGAUAUGUUUUGAUGCUAUUAUAAGAG